UAGGGAAUCUUCCACAAUGGACGCAAGUCUGAUGGAGCAACGCCGCGUGAGUGAAGAAGGUUUUCGGACCGUAAAGCUCUGUUGUUGGCGAAGAAGGAUAGAGGUAGUAACUGGCCUUUAUUUGACGGUAAUCAACCAGAAAGUCACGGCUAACUACGUGCCAGCAGCCGCGGUAAUACGUAGGUGGCAAGCGUUGUCCGGAUUUAUUGGGCGUAAAGCGAGCGCAGGCGGAAGAAUAAGUCUGAUGUGAAAGCCCUCGGCUUAACCGAGGAAUUGCAUCGGAAACUGUUUUCUUGAGUGCAGAAGAGGAGAGUAGAACUCCAUGUGUAGCGGUGGAAUGCGUAGAUAUAUGGAAGAAUACCAGUGGCGAAGGCGGCUCUCUGGUCUGCAACUGACGCUGAGGCUCGAAAGCAUGGGUAGCGAACAGGAUUAGAUACCCUGGUAGUCCAUGCCGUAAACGAUGAGUGCUAAGUGUUGGGAGGCUUCCGCCUCUCAGUGCUGCAGCUAACGCAUUAAGCACUCCGCCUGGGGGAGUACGACCGCAAAGGUUGAAAC
Molecule: ribosomal RNA, 555 nt
Filed under: uncultured bacterium
Lineage: Bacteria
Description: partial 16S ribosomal RNA
Rfam family: Bacterial small subunit ribosomal RNA
Source: RNAcentral